UACGAAGGGGGCUAGCGUUGCUCGGAAUCACUGGGCGUAAAGGGUGCGUAGGCGGGUCUUUAAGUCAGAGGUGAAAUCCUGGAGCUCAACUCCAGAACUGCCUUUGAUACUGGCGACCUUGAGUCCGGGAGAGGUGAGUGGAACUGCGAGUGUAGAGGUGAAAUUCGUAGAUAUUCGCAAGAACACCAGUGGCGAAGGCGGCUCACUGGCCCGGUACUGACGCUGAGGUGCGAAAGCGUGGGGAGCAAACAGG
RNAcentral lists this ribosomal RNA (253 nucleotides) under uncultured bacterium. Its description in RNAcentral is "partial 16S ribosomal RNA". It matches the Rfam family "Bacterial small subunit ribosomal RNA", at positions 524 to 776 of the family's 1533-position model. The record is from RNAcentral.